GUGUUGCAUGGCUGUCGUCAGCUCGUGUCGUGAGAUGUUGGGUUAAGUCCCGCAACGAGCGCAACCCUCAUUCUUAUUUGCCAGCGGGUAAUGCCAGGAACUAUAAGAAAACUGCCAGUGAUAAGCUGGAGGAAGGUGGGGACGACGUCAAGUCAUCAUGGCCCUUACGGGUUGGGCUACACGCGUGCUACAAUGGUGUUUACAGAGGGAAGCAAGACGGCGACGUGGAGCAAAUCCCUAAAAGACAUCUCAGUUCGGAUUGUUCUCUGCAACUCGAGAGCAUGAAGUUGGAAUCGCUAGUAAUCGCGGAUCAGCAUGCCGCGGUGAAUACGUUCUCGGGCCUUGUACACACUGCCCGUCACGCCAUGGGAGUUGGUUUUACCUGAAGGUGGUGAGCUAACGCAAGAGGCAGCCAACCACGGUAAAAUUAGCGACUGGGGUGAAGUCGUAACAAGGUAGCCGUAGGGGAACCUGCGGCUGGAUUACCUCCUUAA
Molecule: ribosomal RNA, 494 nt
Filed under: Rickettsia sp. wq
Lineage: Bacteria; Pseudomonadati; Pseudomonadota; Alphaproteobacteria; Rickettsiales; Rickettsiaceae
Description: bacterial SSU rRNA
Rfam family: Bacterial small subunit ribosomal RNA
Source: RNAcentral